UGUUUUAAAAUAAUUAAGGAUUUAUUUUCACGAAACCAGUAUGAGCUACAUUUUCAAUUAUAUAUUAGUGAAAUUUAUUGGUGUUUCAAUACCAGUAUAAUAUGAAAAUAUAGGGGUGAUAGGCCAACCAAGUCUGGGUAUAUCUUGAUAAUAAGGAAAUAUAUUUAGUAUAAAAUACAACCUGAAAAUGGUAAGGUUUUUAGGUUACAUAAUUUUGGUUAAAUUAAUAGGUCCUAUUUUUAAAAUAUUGGAUUAUAGUAUUAUUAACAUAAAAAAUCAGAAGAAUAUGGAAAUUACUUUAUUCGUUUAAAUUAUUUAUAAAUUAAGUUGUUAAUGAAUACAUUAGUAUAUAAGUAAAAUCCUAGUAAGGAACUCGGCAAAUAUUUUUCUCGACUGUUUAUCAAAAACAUGCCUAAAGCUAUAAUUUUAGGUUAUCUCUGCUCAAUGAAAUUUAAAUAGCCGCAGUACUCUGACUGUGCAAAGGUAGCAUAAUCAAUUGGCUUAUAAUUGAAGUCUGGAAUGAAUGGGAAUACGGGUAUAAGCUGUCUUAUUAAGAUAUAUAAAAAUUUCUAAAUAAGUGAAAAUUCUUAUAAUUAGAAAAUAGACGAGAAGACCCUAGAAAUUUUUUAAAAAUUCUUAGUAUAUUUUGUUGGGGCGACACGGUAACAGAUAACUUACCUAAAAUAGAUAGGAAACUAUUUAGUUGAAUAAAUAAAUUACUCUAGGGAUAACAGCAUUAUAUAUAAAAGUUUGUGACCUCGAUGUUGGACUAGGGAUUGUUUUAUUUAGAAGAUAAUACAACAGGCUCUGUUCGAACUUCUUUCCCUACCUGAUCUGAGUUCAGACCGG
Molecule: ribosomal RNA, 849 nt
Filed under: Hesseola pratensis
Lineage: Eukaryota; Metazoa; Mollusca; Gastropoda; Stylommatophora; Hygromiidae
Description: partial 16S ribosomal RNA
Source: RNAcentral